This 253-nucleotide ribosomal RNA is filed under the name uncultured bacterium. RNAcentral's name for it is "partial 16S ribosomal RNA". It matches the Rfam family "Bacterial small subunit ribosomal RNA", at positions 524 to 776 of the family's 1533-position model. The record is from RNAcentral.
UACGUAGGGGGCAAGCGUUAUCCGGAUUUACUGGGUGUAAAGGGAGCGUAGACGGCCAGGCAAGUCUGAAGUGAAAGCCCGGGGCUCAACCCCGGGACCGCUUUGGAAACUGUAUGGCUAGAGUGCGGGAGGGGUAGGCGGAAUUCCUAGUGUAGCGGUGAAAUGCGUAGAUAUUAGGAGGAACACCGGUGGCGAAGGCGGCCUACUGGACCGUAACUGACGUUGAGGCUCGAAGGCGUGGGGAGCAAACAGG